RNAcentral lists this ribosomal RNA (645 nucleotides) under uncultured Thermoprotei archaeon. Its description in RNAcentral is "bacterial SSU rRNA". It matches the Rfam family "Archaeal small subunit ribosomal RNA", at positions 148 to 796 of the family's 1478-position model. Lineage: Archaea; Thermoproteati; Thermoproteota; Thermoprotei. The record is from RNAcentral.
AAACCGCGAUAGGUCAUCACUUCUGGAAUGGGUAAUGNNUUAAACCUAUAUGGCCCCUGGAUUGGACUGCGGCCGAUCAGGCUGUUGGUGAGGUAAUGGCCCACCAAACCUGUAACCGGUACGGGCUCUGAGAGGAGGAGCCCGGAGAUGGGCACUGAGACAAGGGCCCAGGCCCUAUGGGGCGCAGCAGGCGCGAAACCUCUGCAAUAGGCGAAAGCUUGACAGGGUUACUCUGAGUGAUUUCCGUUAAGGAGAUCUUUUGGCACCCCUAAAAAUGGUGCAGAAUAAGGGGUGGGCAAGUCUGGUGUCAGCCGCCGCGGUAAUACCAGCACCCCGAGUGGUCGGGACGUUUAUUGGGCCUAAAGCAUCCGUAGCCGGUUCUACAAGUCUUCCGUUAAAUCCACCUGCUUAACAGAUGGGCUGCGGAAGAUACUAUAGAGCUAGGAGGCGGGAGAGGCAAGCGGUACUCGAUGGGUAGGGGUAAAAUCCGUUGAUCCAUUGAAGACCACCAGUGGCGAAGGCGGCUUGCCAGAACGCGCUCGACGGUGAGGGAUGAAAGCUGGGGGAGCAAACCGGAUUAGAUACCCGGGUAGUCCCAGCUGUAAACGAUGCAGACUCGGUGAUGAGUUGGCUUAUUGCUAACUC